CACGACUACAUUAGAUACCCGGUAGUCCUAGCCGUAAACGAUACUCGCUAGGUGUCGGCCACGGUGCGACCGUUGUCGGUGCCGUAGGGAAGCCGUGAAGCGAGCCACCUGGGAAGUACGGCCGCAAGGCUGAAACUUAAAGGAAUUGGCGGGGGAGCACAACAACGGGUGGAGCUUGCGGUUUAAUUGGAUUCAACGCCGGAAAUCUUACCGGGACCGACAGCAACAUGAAGGCCAAGCUGAAGACUUUGCCGGAUUAGCUG
This 263-nucleotide ribosomal RNA is filed under the name uncultured archaeon. RNAcentral describes it as "partial 16S ribosomal RNA". It matches the Rfam family "Archaeal small subunit ribosomal RNA", at positions 718 to 982 of the family's 1478-position model. The record is from RNAcentral.